Molecule: ribosomal RNA, 253 nt
Filed under: uncultured bacterium
Lineage: Bacteria
Description: partial 16S ribosomal RNA
Rfam family: Bacterial small subunit ribosomal RNA
Source: RNAcentral
UACGAAGGGGGCUAGCGUUGUUCGGAAUUACUGGGCGUAAAGCGUAUGCAGGCGGAUUGUUAAGUCAGGGGUGAAAUCCUGAGGCUCAACCUCAGAACUGCCUUUGAUACUGGCAAUCUUGAGUCCGGGAGAGGUUAGUGGAACUGCGAGUGUAGAGGUGAAAUUCGUAGAUAUUCGCAAGAACACCAGUGGCGAAGGCGGCUAGCUGGCCCGGUACUGACGCUGGGAUACGAAAGCGUGGGGAGCAAACAGG